Molecule: RNA transcript, 1729 nt
Organism: Sinocyclocheilus anshuiensis
Lineage: Eukaryota; Metazoa; Chordata; Actinopteri; Cypriniformes; Cyprinidae
Gene: scn2b
Gene name: sodium channel, voltage-gated, type II, beta
Exons: 6
Source: RefSeq, a predicted model, not a curated record
CACAGCACAAAAUAAAAACAUUUUCCCUGGGUUUUUUUUUUUAUAUAAUUGAAACGAAGAAAUAGAUCUCAAACGCUUUUCUGUUCUUAUUUUUCGCUACGUUUAUUGGCAUCGACCAAAAUGCAUAUGUUGCAUUUUGGGAAAGCGCAGUGGGCCUCCGCUUUGAAAUUACCCUGUGUUGCAUUGGUGAUAUUUCUGGCCUGUCCAGUGAACUCCAUGGAUGUGCUGGUGCCACCACAGAUCUACGCUCUCAAUGGGACAGAUGUCAGAAUCCCCUGUGCGUUCACCUCAUGCUACAAGCUGGACCCCAGCAAGUUUGCCAUGAACUGGACCUAUCAGGAGACAAGCAACAGCACAGAGAAAAUGUUCAUGACCUAUAAGAACAAGAUAACACCCUUGAAGUCAAGCCGAUUUGGAGAUCGAGUCCUAUUUUCUGGAAACCUGGAUAAGAACGACCUGUCCAUCACUAUCUUAGAUGUGCAGCUGACGGACGAGGGCAUCUACAACUGCUAUGUGCGGAACCCUCCAGACCGCAUUCAGGGUCAUGGCACCAUCCAAUUUGUCGUCCUGACCGAAUUACCGCCACCAAGGGAUUCAACUAUUGCUGUCGCCAUCGGGGCAUCUGUGGGGGGAAUUCUAGCUUUGCUCAUUCUGUCCAUGGUGGUGGUGAAAUGUAUUCGCAGACAUAAGAACCAGGAGCUGAUCUCAGAUGAGCAGAAGAUGGAAGAAGAGGGUAAAGCAGAUGGAGAAGGAGGCACAGAAGAAGUAACAAAACAGCCCUAACCUGCCAUCUUAGCCCUGGAGGCCUAACAGAUGGUGGAGCUCCAUCCUACACAUUCUGAAAUGUAUGCCUCCUGCCUGAAGAUAUGUAAAACGUGUUUGACUCUUCAUCCUAUAACUCUCAUUCAACAUUCCUCGGUUUUCUCGUGUAGCAGUCAAACAUGUCAUGUUAGGAAGAUCUCCACCACAGUGCCAUGGUGUCCAGUUACCGGUUUCAAACUGCCUCUUCAACUCAGUAUGACAGGUUAAGGUUAUAACAACUUCCUGCAGAACUCUUCAUUUGGACCACGUUUUUUCAAAGUCAAGUAAUGUAUUUUUUCUUCAACUACUGCCAAUAUUAGCACUAAUAAUAUUAGCCAUCCAGUAUUUCUGCUGAGAAUUUUCUAAAGAGAUUAAUUUUAAAUUAUACAAAGUCCUCCUUAUAACUGCCAAAGUGUUUUUACCCUUAUGGUGUUUAUACGUUUUGACAGUUUCUUGAGAAAUCACUGCCCUCAACAUCCUCUCAAGUGGAUGUAGAAACAUAAUGUGUGUAUGUGUGUUUGUGUGUGUGCCUUCUCAUUGUGCCAAUUUGCUCCUAUUGAGUUUGAAAAGUUUAUGCUGUUUUUACUAUCCAGUGUAGGUAGAACAGCAGAAAAUUAGGCAGGACCAUGACUAUACAUGAGUGUUCAAAAUGUAUAAUUUGCUAGCUUACAGCACAUAACAUCUCCAAAACAUGUACAAUCAUUGCAUGACAAUUUUCGUAAGCAUGAUAAACACAAUUAGCACAAAAAAAUCAUCAGUUUGCACAAGCAUCUGGCACAUUCCACAAAUAGGGUAUGCUUUGCUGUCCCAUGACAUUUUUUAAAAGCCUUAGACGCACAAAUCCCAUGUUGUCUCUUGACUUAUUAGAUACUGUACAGUGUGUAUAGAAAAUAAUCAUCCGCCUUUAAAAUAAUUACAUUUAGAUUUU